RNAcentral lists this ribosomal RNA (292 nucleotides) under uncultured bacterium. RNAcentral's name for it is "partial 16S ribosomal RNA". The record is from RNAcentral.
GGACUACAAGGGUAUCUAAUCCUGUUUGCUCCCCACGCUUUCGCGCAUGAGUGUCAGAACCGAGCCAGAUGGCCGCCUUCGCCACCGGUGUUCUUCCUAAUAUCUACGAAUUUCACCUCUACACUAGGAAUUCCGCCAUCCUCUCUCGGCCUCAAGCGAUCCCGUUUCAAAGGCAAUUCCGAAGUUGAGCCUCGGGCUUUCACCUCUGACAAAGAUCACCACCUACGCGCGCUUUACGCCCAGUAAUUCCGAACAACGCUAGCCCCCUUCGUAUUACCGCGGCGGCUGGCAC